This 74-nucleotide transfer RNA is filed under the name Sus scrofa (pig). It matches the Rfam family "tRNA". Rfam says of the family: Transfer RNA (tRNA) molecules are approximately 80 nucleotides in length. Their secondary structure includes four short double-helical elements and three loops (D, anti-codon, and T loops). Lineage: Eukaryota; Metazoa; Chordata; Mammalia; Artiodactyla; Suidae. The record is from Rfam by way of RNAcentral.
UCCCUGGUGAUUCAGUUGGUUAAGGAUCCUGCAUUGUCAUUGCUGUGGCACAGGUUUGAUCCCUAUCCCUGGAA